This 430-nucleotide ribosomal RNA is filed under the name Pleurotus eryngii var. ferulae. Its description in RNAcentral is "LSU rRNA". It matches the Rfam family "Bacterial large subunit ribosomal RNA", at positions 1713 to 2106 of the family's 2925-position model. Lineage: Eukaryota; Fungi; Basidiomycota; Agaricomycetes; Agaricales; Pleurotaceae. RNAcentral also lists the same sequence under 1 other name. The record is from RNAcentral.
CUCGGCAAAUUAUCCUCAUAAGUUUGACGACAAGAGGUACCGCAUAUUAUUAAUAAUAAUUAUUAAAUAGUAAAAUAUCUAAUAUUUUUUAUUUUUAUAAGGCGGUGACACAUAAUCGGAGGCCCCGACUGUUUACUAAAAACACAGAUCACAGCAAUCAUGUAAAUGAUAGUAUUGUGGUCGAAAUUUGCCCGAUGCCAUUAAUAUAAGAGAGGUUAUAGUUUCUGUGACUAAUCGAAAGUCUGGUUAAUAGCGGUCUUAACUAUGAGGAUCCUAAGGUAGCAAAAUAAAUUGGCCAUUAAAUGUGGUCCGGUAUCAAUAAUGUAACGAGGGCCUCACUGUCUCUACAACUUGCUCAGUGAAAUUGAAUUACCCGUGCAGAUGCGGGUUACCUCCAGGGGGACGGGAAGACCCUAUGCAGCUUCUACUG